RNAcentral lists this ribosomal RNA (505 nucleotides) under uncultured bacterium. RNAcentral describes it as "partial 16S ribosomal RNA". It matches the Rfam family "Bacterial small subunit ribosomal RNA", at positions 28 to 507 of the family's 1533-position model. The record is from RNAcentral.
GACGAACGCUGGCGGCGUGCCUAAUACAUGCAAGUAGAACGCACAGUUCAUACCGUAGCUCGCUCCACCAUAGACUGUGAGGUGCGAACGGGUGAGUAACGCGUAGGUAACCUGCCUGGUAGCGGGGGAUAACUAAUGGUAACGAUAGCUAAUACCGCAUAAUAUUAAUUAUGGCCUGAUAAGUAAUGGAAAUGUGCAAUUGCACAACUACCAGAUGCACCUGCGUUGUAUUAGCUAGUAGGUGAGGUAACGGCUCACCUAGGCGACGAUACAUAGCCGCCCUGCGAGGGUGCGCUGCCAAGCUGGGCCUGGGACACGGCCCAGACUCCUACGGGUGGCAGCCGUAGCGGAUCUUCAGCGAUGGACGAAAGUCUGAACGAGCGACGCCGCGUGAGUGAAGAAGGUUUUCGGGUCGUAUAGCUCUGUUGUGAGAUAGGAUCGGGAGUGAGAGUUGACAGUUCACAUAGUGACGGUAUCGUAAGAGAAAGCGCCGGCUAACUACGUG